RNAcentral lists this ribosomal RNA (200 nucleotides) under Gammaproteobacteria bacterium. RNAcentral describes it as "partial 16S ribosomal RNA". It matches the Rfam family "Bacterial small subunit ribosomal RNA", at positions 1 to 207 of the family's 1533-position model. Lineage: Bacteria; Pseudomonadati; Pseudomonadota; Gammaproteobacteria. The record is from RNAcentral.
AUUAAACUGAAGAGUUUGAUCCUGGCUCAGAUUGAACGCUGGCGGUAUGCUUAACACAUGCAAGUCGAACGGUAACAGGCAGAGCUUGCUCUGUGCUGACGAGUGGCGGACGGGUGCGUAACGCGUGGGAAUCUACCUUGUAGUGGGGGAUAGCCCGGAGAAAUCCGGAUUAACACCGCAUAAUCUCUACGGAGGAAAAG